CCUUGCCAGCCCGCUCAGAAACUUAAAGGAAGUUGACGGGGCCCGCACAAGCGGUGAGCAUGUGGUUUAAUUCGAUGAUACGCGAGGAACCUUACCUGGGCUCAAAUGUAUGUUGACGUAUUCUGAAAGGGAUACUUCUUCGGACAAUAUACAAGGUGCUGCAUGGUUGUCGUCAGCUCGUGCCGUGAGGUGUCGGGUUAAGUCCCAUAACGAGCGCAACCCCUAUCAUUAGUUGCCAUCAGGUCAAGCUGGGGACUCUAAUGAAACUGCCUACGCAAGUAGUGAGGAAGGUGGGGAUGACGUCAAAUCAGCACGGCCCUUACGUCCAGGGCUACACACGUGCUACAAUGGCCGGUACAAAGGGCAGCUACCUGGUGACAGGAUGCUAAUCUCAAAAGCCGGUCUCAGUUCGGAUCGGAGUCUGCAACCCGACUCCGUGAAGCUGGAAUCGCUAGUAAUCGCGCAUCAGCCAUGGCGCGGUGAAUACGUUCCCGGGCCUU
RNAcentral lists this ribosomal RNA (500 nucleotides) under uncultured Sphingobacteriales bacterium. RNAcentral's name for it is "bacterial SSU rRNA". It matches the Rfam family "Bacterial small subunit ribosomal RNA", at positions 903 to 1382 of the family's 1533-position model. The record is from RNAcentral. Lineage: Bacteria; Pseudomonadati; Bacteroidota; Sphingobacteriia; Sphingobacteriales.